This 718-nucleotide ribosomal RNA is filed under the name uncultured bacterium. Its description in RNAcentral is "bacterial SSU rRNA". It matches the Rfam family "Bacterial small subunit ribosomal RNA", at positions 56 to 771 of the family's 1533-position model. The record is from RNAcentral.
UGCAGGUCGACGGCAGCACGGGGGACCCUGGUGGCGAGUGGCGAACGGGUGAGUAAUAUAUCGGAACGUGCCCUGGAGUGGGGGAUAACUAGUCGAAAGACUAGCUAAUACCGCAUACGAUCUACGGAUGAAAGUGGGGGAUCGCAAGACCUCAUGCUCGUGGAGCGGCCGAUAUCUGAUUAGCUAGUUGGUGGGGUAAAAGCCUACCAAGGCAUCGAUCAGUAGCUGGUCUGAGAGGACGACCAGCCACACUGGGACUGAGACACGGCCCAGACUCCUACGGGAGGCAGCAGUGGGGAAUUUUGGACAAUGGGGGCAACCCUGAUCCAGCAAUGCCGCGUGAGUGAAGAAGGCCUUCGGGUUGUAAAGCUCUUUUGUCAGGAAAGAAACGGUCUGGGCUAAUACCCUGGGCUAAUAACGGUACCUGAAGAAUAAGCACCGGCUAACUACGUGCCAGCAGCCGCGGUAAUACGUAGGGUGCAAGCGUUAAUCGGAAUUACUGGGCGUAAAGCGUGCGCAGGCGGUUGUGCAAGACAGAUGUGAAAUCCCCGGGCUUAACCUGGGAAUUGCAUUUGUGACUGCACGGCUAGAGUGUGUCAGAGGGGGUAGAAUUUCCACGUGUAGCAGUGAAAUGCGUAGAGAUGUGGAGGAAUACCGAUGGCGAAGGCAGCCCCCUGGGAUAACACUGACGCUCAUGCCCGAAAGCGUGGGGGAGCAA